UCUAUGGACCUUUUGACCAUC
RNAcentral lists this non-coding RNA (21 nucleotides) under Arabidopsis thaliana (thale cress). Lineage: Eukaryota; Viridiplantae; Streptophyta; Magnoliopsida; Brassicales; Brassicaceae. The record is from RNAcentral.